AAACUUUCAACAACGGAUCUCUUGGCUCCAGCAUCGAUGCAGAACGCAGCGAAACGCGAUAUGUAAUGUGAAUUGCAGAAUUCAGUGAAUCAUCGAAUCUUUGAACGCCCAUGGCGCCUUCCAGUAUCCUGGGAGGCAUGCCUGUCCGAGCGUCGUUU
RNAcentral lists this ribosomal RNA (158 nucleotides) under Gibellulopsis nigrescens. Its description in RNAcentral is "5.8S ribosomal RNA". It matches the Rfam family "5.8S ribosomal RNA". From Rfam's summary of the family: 5.8S ribosomal RNA (5.8S rRNA) is a component of the large subunit of the eukaryotic ribosome. It is transcribed by RNA polymerase I as part of the 45S precursor that also contains 18S and 28S rRNA. Lineage: Eukaryota; Fungi; Ascomycota; Sordariomycetes; Glomerellales; Plectosphaerellaceae. The record is from RNAcentral.